This 22-nucleotide microRNA is filed under the name Rattus norvegicus (Norway rat). RNAcentral's name for it is "Rno-Mir-194-P2_3p* (star (passenger))". RNAcentral also lists the same sequence under 2 other names. The record is from RNAcentral. Lineage: Eukaryota; Metazoa; Chordata; Mammalia; Rodentia; Muridae.
CCAGUGGAGCUGCUGUUACUUU